RNAcentral lists this ribosomal RNA (442 nucleotides) under uncultured bacterium. Its description in RNAcentral is "partial 16S ribosomal RNA". It matches the Rfam family "Bacterial small subunit ribosomal RNA", at positions 338 to 795 of the family's 1533-position model. The record is from RNAcentral.
CCUACGGGAGGCAGCAGUGGGGAAUAUUGGGCAAUGGGCGCAAGCCUGACCCAGCAACGCCGCGUGAAGGAUGAAGGCUUUCGGGGUGUAAACUUCUUUUUAGAGGGAAGCGCAGAAGACGGUACCUCUUGAAUAAGACAUGGCUUACUACGUGCCAGCAGCCGCGGUCAUACGUAGGUGGCAAGCGUUGUCCGGAUUUACUGGGUGUAAAGGGCGUGUUGCCGGGCUGACUAGUCAGUUGUGAAAUUCCGGGGCUCAACCCCGGACCUGCAUUUGAAACUGUUGGUCUUGAGUAUCGGAGAGGCAGGCGGAAUUCCUAGUGUAGCGGUGAAAUGCGUAGAUAUUAGGAGGAACACCGGUGGCGAAGGCAGCCUGCUGGACGACAACUGACGGUGAGGCGCGAAAGCGUGGGGAGCAAACAGGAUUAGAUACCCCAGUAGUC